Oncorhynchus tshawytscha (Chinook salmon) is the source of this 2234-nucleotide long non-coding RNA. NCBI's taxonomy places the organism in Eukaryota, Metazoa, Chordata, Actinopteri, Salmoniformes, Salmonidae. The record is from Ensembl.
AGGUAGCCUAGUGGUUAGAGCCUAGUGGGUAGAGCCUAGUGGUUAGUAUGGGGCGGCAGGUAGCCUAGUGGUUAGAGCCUAGUGGGUAGAGCCUAGUGGUUAGUAUGGGGCGGCAGGUAGCCUAGUGGUUAGAGCCUAGUGGGUAGAGCCUAGUGGUUAGUAUGGGGCGGCAGGUAGCCUAGUGGUUAGAGCCUAGUGGGUAGAGCCUAGUGGGUAGAACCUAGUGGUUAGUAUGGGGCGGCAGGUAGCCUAGUGGUUAGAGCCUAGUGGUUAGCAUGGUGCGGCAGGUAGCCUAGUGGUUAGAGCCUAGUGGUUAGUAUGGGGCGGCAGGUAGCCUAGUGGUUAGAGCCUAGUGGUUAGCAUGGUGCGGCAGGUAGCCUAGUGGUUAGAGCCUAGUGGUUAGUAUGGGGCGGCAGGUAGCCUAGUGGUUAGAGCCUAGUGGUUAGUAUAGGGCGGCAGGUAGCCUAGUGGUUAGAGCCUAGUGGUUAGAGCCUAGUGGUUAGUAUGGGGCGGCAGGUAGCCUAGUGGUUAGGGCCUAGUGGUUAGAGCCUAGUAGUUAGGGCCUAGUGGUUAGAGCCUAGUGGUUAGAGCCUAGUGGUUAGUAUGGGGCUGCAGGUAGCCUAGUGGUUAGAGCCUAGUGGUUAGUAUAGGGCGGCAGGUAGCCUAGUGGUUAGUAUAGGGCUGCAGGUAGCCUAGUGGUUAGUAUGGGGCGGCAGGUAGCCUAGUGGUUAGAGCCUAGUGGUUAGUAUAGGGCUGCAGGUAGCCUAGUGGUUAGAGUGUAGAGGCGGCAGGGUAUACUAGUGGUUAGAGCGUUUGGCCAGUAACUGAAAGGUUGCUGGAUCGAAACCCUGAGCUGACAAGGUAAAACAUCUGUCGUUUCUGCCCCUGAACAAGGCAGUUGUUGUUCAUAGGCUGUCAUUGUAAAUAAGUAUUGUUCUUAACUGACUUAGUUAAAUAAAAGGUUACAAUAGAAAAUCAUUUAAAUGAAAUGCCUGGGGUCUGUCUCUCCAGCUGCACUCAUCAGAGAGAGUCUGGGUCUGAGUAGCAGAACAGGAGUAGAGCCUACACUCAUCUCUCUCUCCCUCCUCCUACCUCAGAGCAUGUUAUGCACACCUGUUUGCCCUCUCUUCCUCUCUCAUAAACAUCCAGUAGAAUUCCCCUUGACUCUCUCAUAAAGUUCUGUAACGACCAUCUGAAGGAAUCCCAUGACAAGUGGCGAAUGCUGUCGGCCUAUUUUCCAGUCCUCUAUCGCUUUAGAACACGUUCUACUGUAGGACAGGCAACAUCAUGAAACACAACAUAGCAGAGGAAUGCCAGGGUUCCCACAGUGACCGUACGUACAUACCCCAACCAGAAGCCAUAGAUUACAGGCAACAUCAUGGAACACAACAUAGCAGAGGAAUGCCAGGGUUCCCACAGUGACUGUACGUACAUACCCCAACCAGAAGCCAUAGAUUACAGGCAACAUCCACACUGAGCUAAAGGGAAGAGCUGCCGCUUUCAAGGAGCGGGACUCUAACCCGGAAGCCUAUAAGAAAUCUGCUAUUCCCUCCAACGAACCACCAAACAGGCAAAGCGUCAAUACAGGACUAAGAUUGAAUCGUACUACACCGGCUCUGAUGCUUGUCGGAUGUGGCAGGGCUUGAAAACUAUUACAGACUACAAAGGGAAGCACAGCCGUGAGCUGCCCGGUGACACGAGCCUACCAGACGAGCUAAAUGACUUAUAUGCCUCCACAUUAUAGCCUCCACAUUGACUCUGUACCGUAACACCCUGUAUAUAGCCUUCACAUUGACUCUGUACCGGUACCCCCUGUAUAUAGCCUCCACAUUGACUCUGUACCGUAACACCCUGUAUAUAGCCUCCACAUUGACUCUGUACCGGUACCCCCUGUAUAUAGCCUCCACAUUGACUCUGUACCGUAACACCCUGUAUAUAGCCUCCACAUUGACUCUGUACCAUAACACCCUGUAUAUAGCCUCCACAUUGACUCUGUACCGGUACCCCCUGUAUAUAGCCUCCACAUUGACUCUGUACCGUAACACCCUGUAUAUAGCCUCCACAUUGACUCUGUAGCGGUACCCCCUGUAUAUAGUCUCCACAUUGACUCUGUACCGGUACCCCCUGUAUAUAGCCUCCACAUUGACUCUGUACCGGUACCCCCUGUAUAUAGCCUCCACAUUGACUCUGUACCGUAACACCCUGUAUAUAGCCUCCACAUUCACUCUGUACCG